This is a long non-coding RNA of Lingula anatina, 330 nucleotides long. The record is from RefSeq and is a predicted model, not a curated record. Lineage: Eukaryota; Metazoa; Brachiopoda; Lingulata; Lingulida; Lingulidae.
AUUGAAAACGAAAGAGCGCAGUUAUUGUUGAAAGUUGAUGCCUCUUCUAAAGUAUAUUCUAGCUGCUCCGAGUGGAAGAGAAAUGGUCACCACCAAGACGGCCACUAUUUACUGGACGUGGACGGUAAAGGCGGCGUUCAAGCUUUCUACGUGUGGUGUAACAUGACGUCAUCACCCCCUACGGCUUCCAUCGGCCACGAUCGAGGUCUCCGAACUAAGACGGUUGGUUACGAAAAAGUUGGAUCACAUAUUUGUAAAGUGUUGUAUGACGUCACCAUGAGGCAGCUUACAGCCCUGAUGAGCAAUUCAUCUAACUGUAAACAAUAUUUU